UACGUAGGGUCCGAGCGUUGUCCGGAUUUAUUGGGCGUAAAGAGCUCGUAGGCGGUUCCGUAAGUCAGAUGUGAAAACUCAGGGCUCAACCCGGAGACGCCAUCUGAUACUGCGGUGACUGGAGUCUGGUAGGGGAACACGGAAUUCCUGGUGUAGCGGUGAAAUGCGCAGAUAUCAGGAGGAACACCGAUGGCGAAGGCGGCUUGCUGGGCCUUACCUGACGCUGAGGAGCGAAAGCGUGGGGAGCGAACAGG
This 254-nucleotide ribosomal RNA is filed under the name uncultured bacterium. RNAcentral describes it as "partial 16S ribosomal RNA". It matches the Rfam family "Bacterial small subunit ribosomal RNA", at positions 524 to 776 of the family's 1533-position model. The record is from RNAcentral.